This 253-nucleotide ribosomal RNA is filed under the name uncultured bacterium. RNAcentral describes it as "partial 16S ribosomal RNA". It matches the Rfam family "Bacterial small subunit ribosomal RNA", at positions 524 to 776 of the family's 1533-position model. The record is from RNAcentral.
UACGUAGGGGGCAAGCGUUGUCCGGAAUCAUUGGGCGUAAAGAGCGUGUAGGCGGCUUGGUAAGUCCGCUGUGAAAGUCCAGGGCUCAACCCGGAAAUGGCAUUGGAAACUACCUUGCUGGAGGAUUUGAGGGGGGAUUGGAAUACUUGGUGUAGCAGUGAAAUGCGUAGAUAUCAAGUGGAACACCAGUGGCGAAGGCGAAUCCCUGGAAAAUACCUGACACUGAGGCACGAAAGCUAGGGGAGCAAACAGG